CUCCCAGAGCAGGGACAGGUAUUUAAGGACCCACUCUCAGGGAUGCUGUCCUCGGGUUUCCAGGCUCCCGCUCUGUAGGACCGAGGCAGGCUCCACCGUGAGAGAGAGAGAGCGACCUGAUUCUGACUGAGACAUUUCCGCAGAGCCCCCAGAGGAAAGACAGGAAGGAACACCCGAGGCUCCCGGGACUUCUGACUGCUCUGUCCACUGAGGUGUGCUUUUUGGAUGAAAAGCAGAAAUCUGGACAUGGAGGAGGUGGUGAUCAUGGAGACAGAUUUGGCCGAAAUGCCUGAGAAAAAAGGUAGAAUUGCUCAAGUGUUGCACUUCUGUGGUGGAAGGGUGGAGUCCUUCCUCCUGGAGGGAAAAGGGUUGUCUCGGAAUAGGUGGCCAUUGGCAGAGAGGACUGUCUGUCUCCAUUGUCUUGGUGGAUGGGUGGGCUAUUUGAGUGUAGAGAGUUUGGUACAGGAUCAUCCCCUGUCCUUUCCAUUGCAACCUGGUGCACAAUGGACCCUUCCAAGCAGCCCCCAAAAUAAGAGUGGAAAUGUUAAUCUGAGAUGUGAGCACAGCUACAACCACUCUUCUCACUUGCUCUUCCUUUCAAAUGAUUAUUCCAUUCUAGUCCCCAUCAGUGGAUUUGAGAAAUCAGCUUUGUGGUUGACAAAAAUUUCUCCACACCCAUUAUUUCACUGUAUCUUUAUAGUUACCUAUGAUUUAAAUUCAGUGCGGGUUUGAUCUUUUUGUUUGUUUUGGUGAUGGUGGUGUUUAACAUGCAAAACAGACUAGAAGGCAAGGGUUGACUUUCAGUACUACUAGACCAGAGU
This 821-nucleotide long non-coding RNA is filed under the name Marmota monax (woodchuck). The record is from RNAcentral. Lineage: Eukaryota; Metazoa; Chordata; Mammalia; Rodentia; Sciuridae.